Arachis duranensis is the source of this 586-nucleotide long non-coding RNA. RefSeq lists it as uncharacterized. The record is from RefSeq and is a predicted model, not a curated record. Lineage: Eukaryota; Viridiplantae; Streptophyta; Magnoliopsida; Fabales; Fabaceae. The transcript has 3 exons.
UUCUGGGGCUUUGUAUGGAUUACUCGGAACUUUACUCUCUGAGCUCAUUUGGAACUGGGAAUUACAAUCCAAAAGAGUUUCAGCAAUAGUCUCUUUUGUCUUUGUAUUUGUUUGCAAUUUCAUCCUUGGCUUUUUCUGCCUUAUGUCGUCAACUUUGCGAGCGUUGGAGGUUUCGUAUCAGGGUUCCUUCUUGGAUCUGUACUUCUACUCAGCAGAAAUCUUGAACUGCCAAAGGUUCCAAUCAAAUUAAAGGAACUCUCUUUGAUUAUGGUGUCAAGAGUUACAUCAAGUUAAAGUUGAAGCAAAACAUGGACAGACCGGUUCUCAGGAUUGUUUCUCUUAUCCUCUUUAGCCUGAUAUUUGGCCGGUUGUCUUGUGGCAGUUCUUCAUGGGAUCAACAUCAAUAGUUAUUGCACAUGGUGCCCAUAUGUUGAUUGUCCUCUCUUUCAUUUAUGGUUGUCCUCUACCGUUGUUUCUAAGUUGCUUUUUAAUCACUGGAAUACAUUAUCAGUUGAGAUCCAAUUCUCUUAAGUCUUGAUUAUUUCUCCUUCUAUAUCUCUUGGUUCAUUGUCACUUUUAUUCUUAU